This 420-nucleotide ribosomal RNA is filed under the name uncultured bacterium. RNAcentral describes it as "bacterial SSU rRNA". It matches the Rfam family "Bacterial small subunit ribosomal RNA", at positions 356 to 773 of the family's 1533-position model. The record is from RNAcentral.
GAGGAAUAUUGGUCAAUGGGCGCAAGCCUGAACCAGCCAUGCCGCGUGCAGGAAGACGGUCCUAUGGAUUGUAAACUGCUUUUAUUCGGGAAUAAACCUCCUUACGUGUAGGGAGCUGAAGGUACCGAAUGAAUAAGCACCGGCUAACUCCGUGCCAGCAGCCGCGGUAAUACGGAGGGUGCAAGCGUUAUCCGGAAUCAUUGGGUUUAAAGGGUCCGCAGGCGGUUUUAUAAGUCAGUGGUGAAAGCCUACAGCUCAACUGUAGAACUGCCAUUGAUACUGUAAGACUUGAAUUCGAUCGAAGUGGGCGGAAUAUGACAUGUAGCGGUGAAAUGCUUAGAUAUGUCAUAGAACACCGAUAGCGAAGGCAGCUCACUAGGUCUGGAUUGACGCUCAGGGACGAAAGCGUGGGGAGCAAAC